This 313-nucleotide unclassified non-coding RNA is filed under the name uncultured Thelephoraceae. RNAcentral's name for it is "sequence contains ITS2". The record is from RNAcentral. Lineage: Eukaryota; Fungi; Basidiomycota; Agaricomycetes; Thelephorales; Thelephoraceae.
AACGCACCUUGCGCCCUUUGGCUAUUCCGAAGGGCAUGCCUGUUUGAGUAUCAUGAACAUCUCAACUCUCAUGGCUUGCCGUGAUGAGCUUGGACUUUGGGGGUCUUGCUGGCCUGUGGUCAGCUCCUCUCAAAUGAAUUAGCCUGCCGGUGUUUGGUGGGAUCACAGGUGUGAUAACUAUCUACGCUUGUGGUUUUCCACCAGGUAACCCUCAGCAAUGGAGGUUCACCGGAGCUUAUAAAUGUCUCUCCCCAGCGAGGACAGAUUUUGACCAUUUGAUCUCAAAUCAGGUAGGACUACCCGCUGAACUUAA